GUGAAAGUUAAAUUUUGUUUCUUGAAUUACCUGUCUUACCAGGAGGCAAACAAAAAGAGGAGCGAAAGGCAUCCGUUAGAACUCCUACAUUGUUUAGGUAAAGGAUUGUUGGCUUGAGUGUCUUCAGUGUAAUUGUGGAAUCUUUGUUGAAGAGACUUUCCUAACUGUCUGCUGUUCCUUUUGAGUCAACACCGUGAUGGUCACGCUGCGGCUGCCUUUGCCAAUUUACCGUGUUCAUGGGCUGUGCUUGUACAGCUUGCCUUCCGAUCAGUCUCAUAGUUUUCUGAGCUGUAAUUUGUCAAAGUUACCUUUUAUUUAUUUAUUUACGUAUCAGUGACAGAUGCUGCACUCAGCUGAUGCAUCAGAGCUGAAUAAAAGGAUGGAUGGAAUAAUAGGGAGUUAUUUCAAUUACAGCAAGCUUACAGUGAAAGCAAAAUCAGUGGCACUCUGUAAGUGUAAUUUACUUUCCUAUAUCAUUUAAUUUUUUGACUAGCACAGACUUUCACAUUUUAUAAGAAGUGCUGAUUCAGGGCAGGAAGUAAGAGCAUCUCUGAGCAGGCUCUUGCUUUUCUUCUGAAAGCCAUUACUUUGCGCAUCCCAAGGAUGCUGUUACUGGUACAGGUAUAUAAAUACACCGGAUGUGGUAAUGCGCAGCUGAAUCUGAGAAGGACAUCCUGCUGAAGGAUGUAAUGCUGAAGAAGUUACUUGGAAUACAUUUCCGACUGUCUGUUUCCAUCAGCAAGGGAAAGACCUUCAUCUGUGCUUGUUGCCUCUUCAUGAAGACGGAUGCCUUGCGUUCAGCAUGUGAGCGUGGGCAAGUCCUCCAGACACCCAUGUGGUAAUGGCUACUCAGAAAGCAUGGCAACCAUGCUGGGAAGGGAAAAGACUUCAGAGCAGUCACCAGCACAAACCUGAAGGCAUGCUGCCUUGCCAGGUGCCUGUGUGCCACAAAGCAUUCAUACUGCUGGUGCUUACGGUAACUCCUGCUCCCUCUUAGCAGCAUUCCCUUCUGUUGCACGACACCUGCUGUCUUACAGUCCUGAAACAUUUUGGGUAAGCACCUGGAGUUGGAUGAUUUCUAUGAAGUAGUUGGACUUCUGCAUUCAAGUUCCUGCUCAGGUACCUUAUUCCUUCCACAGGAGAACGGUCAGAGCAGCACCUGUUACCUAUCCUGACCUCCUCAACUGGCUGGCCCUGGCAGGAGAGCCCAACUGCUCUGACCCCCUCCUUGCAUCUCUUGUGUAGAUAACAAUUUCAUAAUCAAUCCAAAGCACUUUAGUGAUACUUACAAACUUCAUCAUAAAGUUUGAAAGCAGCUGCUUUAAGCAGUCAUUCAAAAAAUAAAAGCACACAUAAAGCUUGACCACCGUUAAUUCACUUUAUGUAGUCCUUCUCUGUGGAUUACGCAGAAUAGCACAAAGUGAGAAGAAGCUAUUCCUUGCACAUCUAAACCCAUCCUGCGUUGUUCUGGGCUUUUCUCCUUUGGAGAAAGAAGCUUAACAUUUAGGAAUUUCAGUUGCCUUGUCUCUUCAGAGUAAAUAGCUCACUUAGCUAAUAAGGAAACAAAACCAUGCAUAUGACACUACUUACUUAAGAUUAUGAAGUAUGGAAACAACACUGAAAUAUAUAAACUCUUACGUCUGAGAACUGGUUGAAUUCCAGGUUUCAUGCUAACAAAAGCAAGCAAAACGUCCCAUCUACAGCACUUGUUUCGGUGCAAUAAGCAGACAGCGUGUGAAACUGAAUAGUUACAGCUACCGGUCCUACAGCGCACAGGUACAGCCAGGGAGCUUGGAUCCAGAUCUCAAGAAAAAAAGCUGAAGGUUUGGCCAUUAGAGUAGCAGAAAUAAAGUACAUUUAAAUUUUACAUGCAUCUCUGAGCAAGUUUAUUAUUAUUAUUAUUAUAAGAACUUCUUUUUUAAAAAAUACAGCUGCUCAGCUUCCCAAAUCCCAUUACAAAAGUGUGGGGAGAAGGAGCCUUAUUACCUGUGGAAUUCUCACGUGGGUCUUAGUCGGCGCGUGGUUUCUAAUCCUACAGAGGUCUGCUUCACUUAUUUCACCCGGCUUAUCACAAAAUCAGCAUCCCACACCUGCCUCUCUUCUGGUCGAGCUUGAUAGUUUCCCUCAGAUAACCCUCAGCAACAGCCUGCCGCGUGGGCUAUACAACACACCACAGAUAGAUAGAAUAAAUCUGCUUUUCUACCCAAGAGCCUCAACCAGCAGGCUGGUUCAGCAGAAUGCCAGUUGUGGGAAGCAGGGCAGCACCAGCGACGUGAGGAUCCUACUGGCCUGUUAGCGAUGCAUCUCAGCAAGCAGGACGUGCCAGUGCAGUUGCACGAGUUCGCCACACUCCGCAUAAGUAUCCCAACAAGACAAGUGAGCGUCCAUGAAAAAAUAGAAACCCCGGGGAAAAUGGGUACGGUGUGGUCAGAACAGAUACGUUAUGAGAAACCAGUUGUUGCAAAUUUCUCCAAUAUAAUUUAAAACUUAGUGCUGUCCAUUGAAAUCUGCCUUUCAGGUGAAGUUAUCAUUACUUCAAAAGUUAUGCCAUUCAAUUACAAUUCCUACAUCUGUUAAUAACUAAAACAUCUAAUCAAAUUAACUAAGCUACCGUUCUGUCUACAGUUAUGACAAUAUAUAGUGAAAGUUGGGUUUGAACUGAACAACAAUAUAUAGCACUUUUGUUGUAUUACUCCAUAGUGGACAACAGUUAUACAUGAAAGAAGAAAGAAGUAUCAUCAGCAUGCUAGGUGCAAUAUGCGUUUAGAAAAGAAACAAAAAUAUAUAUAUAUAUAAUAACCAGAAGCAAUGUUCAUCCACUCUUAACUGUCCUGGGGAAAAAAAAAAUGCUAUGAGGAAUGCUAUAGUGAGUUUAGAUGCCCAGAUUUUUGAUGGUACUUUACGCUGUAUUGUUGAACGAUAACAAAUACCUAUUUGGGAGCAUAUCAUGUCUGCUUUAGGCUUCUUGGAGCUACUGCCUUGAAGGCAGGAGUGCCAGAUUCUCUGGAGAGGCUGAAGAGAGGGAGGUAUCUGCACACAGAUCUGGGCACCUGCACCUUACGUACCACAAACCGCUCUCUCUGCAUACACACAGAUGCCGUAAGCGCUUAAGUUAAAUACCUAAAGUUAAGCCGGGUGAAGUAUAGUCCAUUUAACAGCACAAAUCUUUUGUUUAGAAGAGAAAUAAUACUUAUAAGGACUGUGCUAAUUGCAAGUACUUUGCUAACAGAGCUGUCAUUUCAAGAAAGCUUCAUUCUGAUAACUUCAUUUUUAUGUACCCUACUCUCUGCAUUGGCUGUAGGGGAGCUAGGCAGUAUUUUGCCUUAAACCGCUUGUAAUACAAGCCUAAAAUGGGCUUCAAAUCAAGUCCUCAUCUCAGGAAAAACAAACAAACAAAAAAAAACCCCUGAAGUAUUGUUUCAGGUAUAAACCUUUCAGUUUCUUUAGCCACUCUGCAACAUCUCUGCUGUUAUCUCUAGCCUUUACAACUACAUUUGCAUGUUUAGUGACCAGAUUUACACCUUUCCUACCACUCCACCAUCGGUUAGGCAGGAGGUUUUCAACUACAUACGGAAUGCAACUAAGAGGUAUGCAAACUAUUUUCUGUCUUCACUCCAGGAUUACAAGUGCAUGGUCUCCCCUCUUACUUGGGGAUUAAGGUACUGAAUAAGUUGAUUGUUUAUUUUUUGUGUACUUCCUACGUGGUUUUAGUCUACUGCAAUCCCUACAGGCAAUUAGCUCAGCAGCUCAGUCAUGGGAGAGAAAAAUCCAACACUUAUGACCACAAAGCUCCUAGCGGGCAACUAUUGUACAAUCAAACUGUGAAGUCUUUUUAGAUCCCUUUUCUUUAAGCAUAAGAUGAUUAUAUUACCUUGUCUAGAAAGAAAAUUCCCAUAAACAUUCGGUAAACAUAAACGUCUCUCUUUUACACAGACUUCAAUUUGCAGUAUGCUGUUGUGCGAAUUUACAGCACACUAGCUGUUCUGUACUAACUCCUUACAGGGACAGUAAACACUUAACACACACAUAACACAGGCAUAAGCAUAUACCAAAAAAGCUUUACUUCUUUCUAUUUUGUACUCAGGAUGCAUCCAAACGUUGCAGUAGUUCAGAGGGACAGAGUAGCUAGAGUACUUGACAUUUACACCUCAUAUAGGACUUUUAAUUUUCUGAAGCUUAGCACACAGUAAACUAGGGUCCUUUAUUAGGAAGAAUCGUUUUAAUGUGCAAGAACACUUUAUUUGCGACUCAAACGUAUCUGGUGCCCUAUCGGAAAGGUUUCUUUGUCAGCUCUACAUUGGAUCAAUUAGCAAUUUCUAAACUUAUUUCUCACUUUGUUUUGGGAGUUUCACUGUUUCUUCCUCUGCUGCUUGACCUCUUUUUGCCCCUACUCCUGGAUCGAGAGGAACUCCGACUUCUGCUCCGACUGCGUGUUCGACUGUAACUUCUGCUGCGACUGCGUCCUCUCCUCUUUCUCCCUCUGCUGCGUGACCUCCUCCUUUCUCGACUUCUCGACCUGCCAGACCGGCGCCUCCUCUUGUUUUUGCGGCGAUUCUUUUUUCUCUCAGAUUCCCCAUUUCUCCGGUAAGAAUGAUCUGGGCUUGGGCUGCUCCUUCUCCUUGACCGGCCAUAAUAGUCAUCACGAUGGCUCGAUCUGUUUCUCCUUUCAGAGUUUUUAGACAACUGAUUAGUCCGUUCCGGAGAAACGCGUAUGUCUCUAUUGGCCUCCCAGAACUCAUUGUUUGGAUUUUUGAAUACAUGAAGAAAGUUGCAGUGUUUCCCUCUUGGACACUUCUGCCUUUCAAAUAAGCCACAAAUAGCAGUCUUCCAUCUUGUCACAGGACAAAAUUCACAGUGAAGCUGCCGGCCUGCGUACCAUCGGCCACUGAAUAGAGCAAGAG
This 4901-nucleotide long non-coding RNA is filed under the name Gallus gallus (chicken). The record is from RNAcentral. Lineage: Eukaryota; Metazoa; Chordata; Aves; Galliformes; Phasianidae.